UAGAUUUCCUGGCAAAUGUAGAAAAGGCAAACGUAGGGCCGAGUGAUCUACUGAUGACACAGCUAUUUGGACCUCCACCCAGCCCUUCAAGGAUUCCCAGGAUCAGUAAGAACCACUUCUGGCACUGUCAUUCAGAUGACAUAAAAGUGAAGUUACAAAGCUCCUUAAAUAAAUACGUUCUGCUGUCCAUGUCGGGAUGUAAUUAUUCACUAAGUCCCAUUCCAAAAGGCACUUUGAUGAAUGUACCAGAGGGCAUGUGAGAGAAAUCCUUUUCUCCAGUAUUUAUGAGGGGAAACUAUGAUGGGGGAAAAACUCAGGCUGGUCACUACUGAGAAGACUCUAACAGGUCCUAGAGACGGCUGAUACCUUUGAAUGCAUUGUCCAGGCUUCAGUUUGAGCCCAUGUGUUAACUGGCAGCACAGUAAUCGACCCUUAGGCUUUGUAUGCAGAAGUUACCAACAGAGGAUGAAAUGUAUUUCGCCAGUGAAUUUUAUUAGAUAAUGUGUGGGUUUCCUUGAUGUAUUGUAAGACAGUCUCAAGACUUUUGUGCUCUUAUACUUGUGGCUGCUUUUUCCUGUGUCUCCUAAUCCCUUUCUGCUUUUCUCAUGUCUUUCCCAGCCUGUAGCUCCCUUCCAACUUUUCCCUCUUCUCUCUCUGUGUUCAGGUCUGGUCCCUCGCCUCUGUCUGGAUGCUGGUAGGGAAACAGCCAUUUCUUCCUCUGGUGCACAUUGCUUCCCAGUAAUCUCUAGUCAUGAGCUGAAUCAAAUUCACCUUAGCCUAGAGCAUGUUUAGUCCAGACAGAACAUCUGAGACUUGUUUAUCAAACCUCUGUUGCCUGUGUAUGAAUGCUUUUCAGACUCUUGCAACUUGGCUGUAUUUACAUGGAUUUUCACACAGUAACGAAAGGCACCUGCCAGUUUAAUAGUUUUGCACUUAUUUCUUCUGCUCUCAUUCUCAGAAAUAACUGGAGCCUAUUUAUUUCUAAGGAAGUUUUAAUUUUUAGGCACACAGUCGUCAUGGAAAAUUUCAAUUCUAAUGGUUAAAAUUUGACAAAUACAUAAACAACUGAAACCAAAGGUAUGAAUUGGAAAUUGUUAAGCAGCAUUAACCAUAGGCAUCUCUUGGCUGUGGUACCUCAGACGCGUAGCUGUAGCUGAAACUGCCGAUAGCAGUGCGUACUCGCUAGUACCAUUUCCAUCCCAUACAAAUCUUUCCAGCUAAUAAAGGAAAGCUCCCAACGACA
Molecule: long non-coding RNA, 1243 nt
Filed under: Struthio camelus australis
Lineage: Eukaryota; Metazoa; Chordata; Aves; Struthioniformes; Struthionidae
Description: lncRNA (ENSSCUG00000014111.1)
Source: RNAcentral